This 836-nucleotide long non-coding RNA is filed under the name Homo sapiens (human). Its description in RNAcentral is "long non-coding RNA NONHSAT231989". Lineage: Eukaryota; Metazoa; Chordata; Mammalia; Primates; Hominidae. The record is from RNAcentral.
GGCUAAUUUUUGUAGUUUUAGUAGAGAUGGGGUUUCACCAUGUUGGUCAGGCUGGUCUGAAACUCCUGACCUCAAGUGAUCCGCCCGCCUCGGCCUCCCAAAGUGCUGGGAUUACAGGCAUGAGCCACUGCGCCAAGCUGAACAUCUUUAUUAAAUGCUCCUGCCAGGUUCUGGGCAGACAAGCUUUGAUUUACUUUCCCUUUCAAGAGCCAAGGGAAUAAAGCUACCAAGUACGAGUUGAUGAUUUGAACUAAUUCUGAAGAUUUGUGAAAAUGCUCAAAAUCCAAGUGGGGAGUGAAGAGCAGCCGCCUGACAACUAAAACUGGGAAAUGGGUGUUAUUUGUCUCACAGUCCCCGCUUGCCCCUGCCUGCGCUGCUCCAUCUCUUCCCCUCCUCCCUGCCACUUCAGGAGCCCAUGCCCUCUCCCCUUAUUGAAACCAAAACAAACACUGCUGUUCUAAAAGAAAGGAUGUGAAUAAUAGAAUCCUUCGAUAACUAGGAGGGCCUUUAGUGAGUUAUCUAAUCCAACUCCCUCAUUUUGUAAAAUACUUGUCACUCCACAUUUGGAAAUCUAAAUCUGGCCCUUUUUCCUUACAUCUUGGAAGGUUCUAAUUAUGUAUUUUCCUAGAAGUGGAAGAAAAGAAGUCACUUCUCAUCUGUUGGUCUCCUUCCUUUUCCUGGAGCCUGCGUCUCCAAGCAGAGAAGGGUAUUUUGUGGCACCUCAAAAGAGAAGCAAUAAAACAUUACACAUAUCCAUGCACCCAGUACCCUGAAGGGUUCCAAAGCCAUGUGAUAUGGUGUGGCCACGUGAUAUGGUGUGUCCCACCCAGAUCUCA